GCUCCCGUGGCACAGCUGGAUAGCGCGUAACUAUCCCCCUCCUAAGGGGCAGGUCACAGGUUCGAAUCCUGUCGGGAGCGCCA
Molecule: transfer RNA, 83 nt
Filed under: Vibrio mediterranei
Lineage: Bacteria; Pseudomonadati; Pseudomonadota; Gammaproteobacteria; Vibrionales; Vibrionaceae
Description: tRNA-Arg
Rfam family: tRNA
About the family: Transfer RNA (tRNA) molecules are approximately 80 nucleotides in length. Their secondary structure includes four short double-helical elements and three loops (D, anti-codon, and T loops).
Source: RNAcentral